GGCUCGGUGGCGAAACGUAUCGCGUCCACUUCGCAUGGUCCACUCUGCCUGAGGUUUCUAAGUGGAGGUUGCCCGUUCGAGCCGGGCCCGAGUCG
Mycena capillaripes is the source of this 95-nucleotide non-coding RNA. The record is from the annotation of a GenBank genome assembly. Lineage: Eukaryota; Fungi; Basidiomycota; Agaricomycetes; Agaricales; Mycenaceae.